RNAcentral lists this ribosomal RNA (468 nucleotides) under uncultured bacterium. RNAcentral's name for it is "partial 16S ribosomal RNA". It matches the Rfam family "Bacterial small subunit ribosomal RNA", at positions 28 to 507 of the family's 1533-position model. The record is from RNAcentral.
GACGAACGCUGGCGGCGUGCUUAACACAUGCAAGUCGAACGGAAAGGCCCUGCUUUUCUGGGGUGCUCGAGUGGCGAACGGGUGAGUAACACGUGAGUAACCUGCCCUUGACUUUGGGAUAACUUCAGGAAACUGGGGCUAAUACCGGAUAGGAGCUCCUGCUGCAUGGUGGGGGUUGGAAAGUUUCGGCGGUUGGGGAUGGACUCGCGGCUUAUCAGCUUGUUGGUGGGGUAGUGGCUUACCAAGGCUUUGACGGGUAGCCGGCCUGAGAGGGUGACCGGCCACAUUGGGACUGAGAUACGGCCCAGACUCCUACGGGAGGCAGCAGUGGGGAAUAUUGCACAAUGGGCGGAAGCCUGAUGCAGCAACGCCGCGUGCGGGAUGACGGCCUUCGGGUUGUAAACCGCCUUCGCCUGUGACGAAGCGUGAGUGACGGUAAUGGGUAAAGAAGCACCGGCUAACUACGUG